AGAGUUUGAUCCUGGCUCAGGAUGAACGCUAGCGGCAGGCUUAACACAUGCAAGUCGAGGGGCAGCGGGGAGGAAGCUUGCUUUCUCCGCCGGCGACCGGCGCACGGGUGAGUAACACGUAUGCAACCUGCCCCUGUCAGGGGGACAACCCGCCGAAAGGCGGGCUAAACCCGCGUACAUGCCACCGGGGCAUCCCGGAGGCAGGAAAGGCUUCGGCCGGACAGGGAUGGGCAUGCGGCGCAUUAGGCAGUAGGCGGGGUAACGGCCCACCUAACCGACGAUGCGUAGGGGUUCUGAGAGGAAGGUCCCCCACACUGGUACUGAGACACGGACCAGACUCCUACGGGAGGCAGCAGUGAGGAAUAUUGGUCAAUGGUCGGGAGACUGAACCAGCCAAGCCGCGUGAGGGAGGAAGGUACAGAGUAUCGUAAACCUCUUUUGUCAGGGAACAAAGGCGGGGACGUGUCCCCGGAUGAGUGUACCUGAAGAAAAAGCAUCGGCUAACUCCGCGCCAGCGGCCGCGGUAAUACGGAGGAUGCGAGCGUUAUCCGGAUUUAUUGGGUUUAAAGGGUGCGCAGGCGGUCUGUUAAGUCAGCGGUCAAAGCCCGGGGCUCAACCCCGGCCCGCCGUUGAAACUGGCAGUCUCGAGUUGGAGAGAAGUAUGCGGAAUGCGCGGUGUAGCGGUGAAAUGCAUAGAUAUCGCGCAGAACUCCGAUUGCGAAGGCAGCAUGCCGGCUCCACACUGACGCUGAGGCACGAAAGCGUGGGUAUCGAACAGGAUUAGAUACCCUGGUAGUCCACGCAGUAAACGAUGAAUGCUGGCUGUCCGGGGGGAUUGACCCCUGGGUGGCGAAGCGAAAGCGAUAAGCAUUCCACCUGGGGAGUACGCCGGCAACGGUGAAACUCAAAGGAAUUGACGGGGGCCCGCACAAGCGGAGGAACAUGUGGUUUAAUUCGAUGAUACGCGAGGAACCUUACCCGGGCUCAAACGGGGAGUGACUCAGGCAGAGACGCCUGUUUCCCACGGGACACUCCCCGAGGUGCUGCAUGGUUGUCGUCAGCUCGUGCCGUGAGGUGUCGGCUUAAGUGCCAUAACGAGCGCAACCCCCGCGUGCAGUUGCUAACAGAUAACGCUGAGGACUCUGCACGGACUGCCGGCGCAAGCCGCGAGGAAGGCGGGGAUGACGUCAAAUCAGCACGGCCCUUACGUCCGGGGCGACACACGUGUUACAAUGGGUGGUACAGCGGGAAGCCAGGCGGCGACGCCGAGCGGAACCCGAAAUCCACUCUCAGUUCGGAUCGGAGUCUGCAACCCGACUCCGUGAAGCUGGACUCGCUAGUAAUCGCGCAUCAGCCAUGGCGCGGUGAAUACGUUCCCGGGCCUUGCACACACCGCCCGUCA
RNAcentral lists this ribosomal RNA (1402 nucleotides) under uncultured bacterium. Its description in RNAcentral is "16S ribosomal RNA". It matches the Rfam family "Bacterial small subunit ribosomal RNA". The record is from RNAcentral.